This 257-nucleotide unclassified non-coding RNA is filed under the name Glomus sp. RNAcentral's name for it is "partial contains 5.8S ribosomal RNA and internal transcribed spacer 2". The stretch from base 1 to 65 matches the Rfam family "5.8S ribosomal RNA", at positions 84 to 154 of the family's 154-position model. Lineage: Eukaryota; Fungi; Glomeromycota; Glomeromycetes; Glomerales; Glomeraceae. The record is from RNAcentral.
GUGAAUCAUCGAAUUUUUGAACGCAAAUUGCACUCUCCUCGGAGAGUAUGCCUGCUUGAGGGUCAGCCUAAAAAAAAAUCGACACAGUCGCUGUUUCGGGGUGACAUUCGUCGGAAAUUGGUUAAUUUUAAACUUUUGGGUUUUAAGCGGCUUAAAAUUUUCUUUACGAUUCCACGAACGUUUUAAAAAUUUACUUUUUACACGUUUAAGGUAAUCGAUUUUUAUUAGACGUGGCCGUUGAAACGGAUCGCGGCCAA